CACACACACACACAAAAAUAAAUAUUAAGGAAAAAACCAAAAAGGUUCAAAUAGUUGGUCAUGCUUUGUGGCAUUGAAUGAUAGGUCCAUUCUAUUGACUCGAAAGUAGCUGUUCAUCUGGUGAGAACCUUGGGCUGAUGGCCAAACAUCACCAUAACCCCUAGUGCUUCUAUUCACUAUCUUGCAUUUGUUGGUCAAUGAUAUUUUACUUGAUAAUAGACAUGAUAAUAGAAAUCAUUCUUUGCAUUAUUUUCUCAUAUUUGGGUAAUUAAUUUCCUUUGUUUUAUAGCAUGGGCAGAAG
Molecule: unclassified non-coding RNA, 301 nt
Filed under: Hevea brasiliensis (rubber tree)
Lineage: Eukaryota; Viridiplantae; Streptophyta; Magnoliopsida; Malpighiales; Euphorbiaceae
Source: RNAcentral